CAGUUGCCUCCUCCUCAUGUGACAAGUGUGACGGUUUGAGCCAGGCCUCAUCCUCAUUCACAUGUAGGGUGGCUGACCUCUGGGACCAACCAUCCAGAGAAGUGGAACUACUGAGCUCUCGUGUCAGGAAGUGAUGAUGGGGUAAAUCCCUUCUGCUGCACGCCUGACAUUUCCCAAGACAUGAGUCACAGCUGAAGCGUUCUUGAGGCGUCUCACAUUUACCACGGGAAGUUGUACCUGCUGCGCAGUGGGGCAGGGAGGACACGGGUGCCAACUGGGCCAAGCCGGUCUGCGGAAAAACAGGGGCUCUCGAAGCUGUUGCUUGCAGGACUGGUGCUUUACUCCAUGAUAACUUUAUUUCUGGAGCAGCAAUAGGACAAUGACUAAUUCUCUAGGUAAUCUAGAAAUAAGUUUUCUUUU
Molecule: long non-coding RNA, 420 nt
Filed under: Struthio camelus australis
Lineage: Eukaryota; Metazoa; Chordata; Aves; Struthioniformes; Struthionidae
Description: lncRNA (ENSSCUG00000009989.1)
Source: RNAcentral